GACGAACGCUGGCGGCGUGCUUAACACAUGCAAGUCGAACGGAGCGAAUGAAAGCUUGCUUUUAUGAGCUUAGUGGCAAACGGGUGAGUAACACGUAGACAACCUGCCGACAGGAUGGGGACAACAUUCCGAAAGGAAUGCUAAUACCGAAUGAAGCGGAGGAGAGGCAUCUCCCCUCCGUGAAAGAUGGCCUCUAUUUAUAAGCUAUCACCUGUCGAUGGGUCUGCGUCUGAUUAGCUGGUUGGUGAGGUAACGGCUCACCAAGGCGACGAUCAGUAGCCGGUCUGAGAGGAUGAACGGCCACAUUGGGACUGAGACACGGCCCAGACUCCUACGGGAGGCAGCAGUGGGGAAUCUUCCGCAAUGGGCGCAAGCCUGACGGAGCAACGCCGCGUGAGUGAAGAAGGUCUUCGGAUCGUAAAGCUCUGUUGACGGGGACGAACGUGCGAGAGGUGAAUAAUCUCUU
Molecule: ribosomal RNA, 466 nt
Filed under: Centipeda dianae
Lineage: Bacteria; Bacillati; Bacillota; Negativicutes; Selenomonadales; Selenomonadaceae
Description: bacterial SSU rRNA
Rfam family: Bacterial small subunit ribosomal RNA
Source: RNAcentral